Molecule: unclassified non-coding RNA, 386 nt
Filed under: Hevea brasiliensis (rubber tree)
Lineage: Eukaryota; Viridiplantae; Streptophyta; Magnoliopsida; Malpighiales; Euphorbiaceae
Source: RNAcentral
UUUGCCUCUAUGCUUGAGUACACAGUUUCCCAUUGACUGAACUCCAUUUUUUUCCCCCUCUUUUCUUUUCUUUUCUUUCUUGUUCUAUGGAAUUGCACUGGCAAAACUUCUGCAGGCGAAGGUAUGAAUUAUCUUCUCAUUGUCUGGUUUUUAGUUCAUGAUGCUUGUUGAAUUGUAUUUGGUGGAACUUCGACAUAAAAUGGCAUAAAAUAGGCAAAAUAAACUCAUACAUUCCCAUUUUUUUGAAGCUGAUUUAACCCUACUGAGUGAUUGAUCAUUCAAUAUACAAGCAUGCAAAUAUCAAUUCAAUUUAUUGAUGUUCACACCUUGAGGAUAAUAUUUAAAUGAUGUUCUCUUUGAUUUGCAGAGGCUAUUGGCAAAAUAUG